Molecule: long non-coding RNA, 2503 nt
Organism: Hyalella azteca
Lineage: Eukaryota; Metazoa; Arthropoda; Malacostraca; Amphipoda; Hyalellidae
Exons: 4
Source: RefSeq, a predicted model, not a curated record
GGCAAGUCCUAUGUUGCCACAGUUCUUCUUCACAUCUCACUGCGUAAAGUUGUCCCAAGGCUCUCAAGAUGCGUUCAGUUGGUUCGCCGCACGGCUGGGGUUCGUACUGGGCAUCUAAAGCUCCAAGUGGAAGUCCCACUGAAGAAAACGUUCAACGAAUGUCGAUAUCUGCGCCUAUUAAUUCCCCAGGCAAACCUUUGAAGCAGCUACUGCAAUCAGCUGCAUCCACAACCGAGAAGACUUGUUCCCAACGCAGCGCUCGAGGAUGGAAUAUUAAGAAGAGCUGAACAAAUCGACUCGGAUUGUUUUGGUAUAAAUUUUUUGAAGGAAUACUAUUUUUUGGUACUAUAUAAUAUAUUCUACUGAUAAAUAAUCAACCCACGUGAAUAUUCCAUACAUUUUUUGAAGGAAUAAUAUUUUUUGAGACUAAUAAAUAAUCAGCCCACGUGACUAUUUCCGUAUGUUCAUCAGUAUUUUCACCCUGAAAAUACAAUUUGAAUAUGCAAUAAACUUUCAUUGGCUAGAAUAAUUAAAAUGACCUCUUAAAUUUACGCAAGGCCAGUAGUAUUUGGUAUAUUAGGAAAAUUUCAAUUGGUGUCGUUUUAAUCAAAUUCGUUUUAAACUGAAGUGUGUUAAUAAAGCGGAAGAAAAUGUGUCUGUCUCUCUUAAUUGUGAGGGAUCGAUUUCGGUUCUUAAACGGCUGUUAAAGCCUAAAUGUAAAUGGCGUCUAAAGAUAAGAUUAAGUUAGAGAUAUUCCUUAGUUUUUCAGCGAAGGCUUUUCUGACAAACAAUGAUUAUUGAAGCCGUACAAGUUUUUAAUUUUAUAUAAAAUAAAUUUUAAAUUAAAUUAUUCCAAUCCAAAUUGAAGUAAUUAAAUCGAGAAAAGAUGCAUUCAACCUGAUAUAGUUUAUACGCCUAUUACAAAUUGCCGACAAUUUUAAUUUUGUUAUGCAUUACUUAAUCUCUGCUGUCAUCAGGCUGGGACGUUUCAAGCUUUAUCGUCAGCGUCUGCUUAUUUUUAGACUCCCUGUUGAGAUUGUCGAGUACAAAGGUUCAUUUUUCUGCUGGUAAAAUGAGAAAAAACAACAUGCUUGUAGAAUUUAAGUAUUUAUGCUGUCGAUGACUAAAAUAUAAAUUUAUUAGUCAUUCUAAUAUAUUUUCAUAAUUUUAUACCAACCGCAUUUUAUUGUAACUGUUGUUUUAGGCAAUACAUUAUUUUAACCACGUACUUUCAACAGUUUACGCUAAGAGUACAGUUUACAGUUUCAGGCCAACUGCAAAUGACUGAUUAUGCGUUAAAGAAUAAUUAGUAAAUAAAUUAACCCAUGUGCAAUUUUAAAAGAAUUAAAGUUAAGAAUAAAUAAUGUACGAACUCAUUUUUUCCUUGUCUGGUAGCCAUUUCAAUGGAGUUUUUUGGGAUGCAUUAAAAAAAGAUGAUUUUAAUUGCUGAGGGGAUAUCAUGAGUUUUAAAUUUUAUAGUCUCUGUGUGUUUGUUUGAAACCUGGUGCUGUGCAUCUGAAAAAUUUUGUAAGCAUUUAGUUGACGUUAGGAUUUAGACUCCUUCAUAAUCGUUCAGAUCGGUUAAAGCGGGUUUGCGUGUAAGUAAUACGCAUGGAACUUCUAUGUACACGUGACUUGUCAAAUAGCUAUCGACUUUUUAACCUUUUGUGUGUCAUACAGACUCAGUUUCUUCCGAAAACUGGGCGUAUCAGUGCUACGUGCGGAUGGUGUGUGUCAAUGUUUGGUCAAAAUGACUCAAUAAUAUUUCUGAGUGCAUGCAAAUUUAUAUAUCUGUGCGUUUGCGCAACAAAUGAACCUGGAAUUUUAUUGAACGUUGCGAUAUUAUAUUUUAAGCAACUUAAGUUUUAAUUCAGCAAAAUAGAAUUAAAUGCUAAGUAAAAGUCACAUUUCAUGAUUGGUCGAGUCGAACUUUAUUCCCAUUUUUUUUGGUCGAGUCGAACUUUAUUCUCGUUUUUGUUCCCCGUCUGAGCGACUCACAAUUCAUUAAAAUUGAACUUUGCCUUAUGUUUAGGUAGAUUGUGAUGAAUGGAAACAAAUUUAUUCGAAGUAUUGUAAGAACUCCCUUUAUCAUGACACUAUACGAGUAAUCAGUUAGCAUUCUAUUGUGAAUACCGUACAAUAUAACUUCCUUAAUUAAUCUUUAUCGAUCCUGUCCAAAGAGGACUUUAGUAAUUAAUUUAAAUAAUAAUUAAUUAUUAAUGCAAGUAAUAAAAUUCACUAUUAAACUAUUGAAAGAGAACUGAGAUUAAAAGAAUCUUGUGUUACUGGUCGGCGGUCGAUAAUGAAGCUGUUCAUCACUUUAUGUAGGAAAAUAAAUUAAUUUCAUUGUACUGGUGCUCGUCGAGACUCUUGUGAAUAGAGAUGUCCUACAUGAUACCUCAAACAAAUACGAAAAAUCGGCUUCUGCUUGUGAACUGAAAUUUGUAAUAUGAAUAUCAAUUGUGAAAGUUUUUUCUUUCUGAUAGACUGAGUACAUGAAAUG